This is a long non-coding RNA of Carassius auratus (goldfish), 4972 nucleotides long. RefSeq lists it as uncharacterized. The transcript is spliced from 7 exons. The record is from RefSeq and is a predicted model, not a curated record. NCBI's taxonomy places the organism in Eukaryota, Metazoa, Chordata, Actinopteri, Cypriniformes, Cyprinidae.
UGCACACCGCAGUACAUCGUGUUGUUCAUGAAUAGGAUCUUCUGUUCAUUCAUACACUUGUAGCUAACAUGUCAGAGCGAUGAAAUGGUGUCUCCAUGCGUUUAAUAUAUUAUAAACAGCCUUUGCGUGUGUGAAACGUAUUUAAAAAAUGUAGCGUCUGUGGGGAAAACACUGCAUAAAGCUUAAUGUAAUAGCCAAGUCAAUAUUUCAGCACCACGGACAGCGACACUCCAGGGGGGAAAAGAAAAACAUAAACUCUGCUUGACUUUUGCCAUAUUUUUGAUUAUAACAAUAAGUAAUUUAACACAUAAAGACACAAAAAGUAAAAGACUGUAAUAAGUAGAUUUUCAGAUCAGUUUUAAGUGAACAGCGUUAGUUUUAGCAGCUCUCGGGUGGAGUUUGGCGACACCAUGCGGCAAGACGCUCAAUUUCUUCCCUCCCGUAUGUUUCUACCGCACUGGUCAAAUUAGUGUACUUUGUGUUCUGCACGUUCUCUUUUAGUGUUGUGCUUUGCAAUUCGACAGCUUUAGACGCUGCAGACUUUCUGUGACUAUUGCACGGUCGUUUAUAACAUCACAUCUAUUUAAAGCAGAAACUGAACAUAUUAGAAACGCCUCUUUGUAUAAACGAGGCAUCCCCAACUUUUCUCUCUUAAUGAUUUCCCUAAACAAAACCCCAACAUGCGCAAAGCACCUACCAGGCUUAAAGAACACAUAUAGGCUAGUGGUGCGCGCCUGCCACUGAAUCCAUUGGCAAAUGAGUUUUUCACGAUGCCUGGCAACUGCAAGGAGUGGUUUCGCUCUGGGAAACCGGGGCUGUGGUCACUUGCAGCGCGGACACUGUCCGUCUUUCACCUAUUUAGCCCGAGCCAUUUUCAUUAACGCGAGGCUGUCUGCAAGCACAACAGGGACGGUUGUUAUCAGCAGCCAUAGACUGUGAAGUGGGAGAACCUAAACGUGACGUCAAUGCCUAGUAACUGACGCAGCCCUCAAAAAAAAGAGAGAUUCUGCAAGCGUUAAUUAUCAUCGUUUGAGUACUGCUGUAAAAACAAAAACAUUCCGUUCGCAGUGCAACUGAUUACUGUUGUUUGUGCGCGAGGGUCCGUCUGUGUGAGUGUGUGCGUGCGUGUGUUUUCUUUAUGAGCUGCGAAUCCGUCCCGAGUUUCCAAGCGAAAGUUGCAUGGAGACACGCCGCGUAAGACGCGUAUCAUAAAGAGGAUGGUGAGCAACAUAAAGGAACGAGGAGAGCAGUAACAACUUGUGCUGAGAAAGCCAACGUUUAAGAAAUAUUUAGCCCGUAAGAAAGAGGGGCAUUGAAGCAGUUCGUUUGGGGGGGAAAUCACUGCAGCGAUGCAUCGGAGGCAAGUCGGAGCCCUUGUAUGGAGUUGGAGAGGCAAAAUUAAUGUACAUUACAUGCACUCCAUGUAACGCUCCUGAGCGAUGUCUUUCCAGGGCUUCCUGCAUUGACCAGGAAUCUCGCGAAUGGUAAAUAAGUGAAAUCCAAAUCCAAACUCCUUUGUCUGACGGCGCUGUUGAGUCGUUUUUUGCCUCUUCGCUACAGCUGAAAGUGUGAAUGGAAACCGAUAACACUAGAAGAGUAAGGGGACAUAUCUCUCAAAAUAUGUGAAGAGGAAAACAGGCUAAUAAAUAUAGGUGGAAGAUGCUGCGCCAAAAGGAAAAUCACCAGCAACAGCCGACGAGGGAAGCCCUGGUGUGGCGUCAAGGGGUUCCGUGCAUCCAAAAUCGCCCUUAUAUGUCCAGCCCUGUUUUGGCCAUCACCCGCGAAAGGGAUGCCACUAGGCACACGGUCUCAAAAUGCAGCUUAAGGUUUUUUUUUUUUUUUUUUUUUUUGUGCAAUGUUCCCGCUUACGUUGUUUGAACACUUCCAUCAGAUGUGCUCGAGACUGUGUAGCUAUAGGCGGAUUCACAUGGAUUACUCUUCCGCCCACGUCAUUUUCAUUAUACAGUACUGCAAUCGACUGUUUUCUAUUGCUGUGGACUAUAAUACUGGUCUUGUGCCAAAACUAACGCGUCUGUGCAGUUGCGCAAAACAAUCACGAUGUGAUCGCCAGUGUUGUUUUAAUCAAAGCAUCUCUUAAUAAAUGUCUAAUUUAUAAAUCCUGCAGCGUGCACAAGUGCCUUAAGCGUUCGCAGACAGUAUAUUUCGAAUUAUUUCAGAGGGUUUAAAUGGACAUGUGCAUGUAUUCACAGGCAAAAUUUAAAUGUGAGUUCGCGUAAAUACUUAAAACCGUACAUGCCAGAGUAACGAGUCCAGGAAUGACCGCGGAUCUUUGCAGAAAAAAACUCAUUACCUUGACCUUUUCAAAGACACUGUGGCUCUCUAUACACCUAUCCCAGACAUAGCAAGAUCUUCUUAAGUCAAUGCUGGAGUUGUAAUUUUAGUGGAAACACGGUUUUAUCCGAGUCGUGACUGCUAUAAUGAGUAAUAUGUGCGCGUUGGCUGCGUCAGGAGAUGCAGUCGCUGUGCGGUGCAGACAGAAGGGGGAGAAUCGUGACUGACUGGAGACGUCCGCAAAUGAUACGACCACCAAAUAAAAUCCUCAUAAUGGUGGCAUCUGCGCUUGAUUUUUUUUCUUUCUUUUUUUAUCUUCUUCCUUUUUUACACUUGUUACAUCUCAAGCCACAUCUCCUUUGCCUAGCCACCUCAACCUCCCCUUGCACCACGAAGGCGCAAGAAGAAUAUCAGUGAUUAAGGGGAAGGGAGGGGGAGAGCUUGGUUCGGGAUGAAUUUAGACUGAGUGGGGGGGGGGGGGGUUGUCCAGAUAAAGAUCGUGACCCUCCCACUUCGUAUAGUUUCUUGUAGAGUUCCGAGAAGAGCCACUCUUUAACAAUUUUGACAAAUGUUCUCGUUGGAUGCAAGAAAAGAACUUCACUGGGCAGGACAAAACCUGAGACAUCCAUCGUGUCAAGUAACGGAGGGAGAAAUGAACGGCUCGAAAUCGAAUCAGAACGUUCCCAAACGUGACGUCACUGUCUUCAAAAUCUUGCUGAUGACUGGACGUCUAUGCAAAAGUGAGAUGUGAAGCCAAACGGAUGGUAGGGGAGUAACAGCUGACAGGAAUAGAAGAUGUUGGAGGUUAAAAGAAGGGGAUUAUCAAUAAACAAGCGUUGCAAAGGCCUCAGGCGUGAGAAUACCGUGGUGAAGUCCUAUGGUUAAUCAUCUGAUCUACAACAUUCACAUGUCAGAGGGAAGAAUUAAAAGGAUGAAAAACUGGGAAAACUUUACCUUGUAUCCUGCACAAAAGAUCAAGGUCAACCCAACGUCAGCUAGACUGCUUUACCCUUGUAAAUGGAUAUUCAGCAAAUUAAUAACUUUGUAGGAACAACAUAACGCCGUCAGGUAUUUGCAAUAUUUGUCUGUAAACUACAUGGGGUUUAAUAAAUGAGCUUAACUUGUUUACGUUGUCACUUGCAGACGUCUUUAACGUCUGAGACGCAUGAGCUCUGAGACGUAAGGAAAUAUGGAAAUUAUGUAGUACGUAUUUAAGCUUUAAAAAAAUGUUUACUUGCACAUAACACCAUGCAUAGAUACAUUUGUAGUAAUUGAUCACCUGAAUGAGAGAAACUGUAGAGACGAGACGCACAUGAGCGCUUGUGGUGAGUUGUGUAGUAAGUUACGUGAGGGCAAACGCAGUCUGAUUUAAUCGUAUUGCUUCUAAUUAAAUAACAGACUAUAUGUAUCUUGAAAUGGAUUUGUUGUGACUGUGAUAAUAAGAACAUGUGCGUAGCGAACGUAGGAAACGUCUGCGUCUGUGUGGAAAUUACAGACGUGAGUUUUUUUUAGCUUGUGGUGUUUUAUAAUUGUGAGGGUGACAUGUUUUACAUAUUUGUGGGAUUCUAAUAGUUUGUUUAAAAUGUAAUAUGAAGCUGUAGACAGUUGGAGGGAGAGUUUUAGCUGCCAGGCGCGCGCUGUUCACUACAUGUGCUGCUGCUGACGUAUCACGUACAAGGCCAGCUGAGCUCAGAACUCGAGAUUAUGUUGCUUUUAAACGUUUAUCGCGAGAUAUGUUUAUUAAAUUGUUUACAUGUAAUUAGGUUUCAUAACUAGUGUUUAGGGAGCAUUUUGAGCAUAGUAAAUGUGAAAUAUGUAUUGUUGGAAUUACCAAAGGGUCAAAGAGGGCUGGGUAGUGCAUGAAGGGGGACAGAUAAAUAUGUUUAAAUUAAAGAAUAAAGAUUAUAGGUGUCGAGUUAUUCUUACGAUGUCUGUGGUAGAUCAGUGAGCGUCGAGGACUGAAAGCUGGAAUGUAUAAUGCGUUACGUGAGAGAAAACGUGUGUGUGAUUGUGCGUGUGUGUGUGUGAGAGAGAGAGAGUGAAACAGAGAGAGGGAGAGUGUGUGUGUGUGUCUGAUCUCGAAAAUGUUGUGCUUUAAGGUUUGUCUAAGCAAAGAUAAUUAAGUAAAAUAUCUACAUUUUGCAUCAGUUAUUAAAGUAUUAUUUUGUAGUAUAAUAAUAAAAGUAAAAAAAAAGCACUGUUAGUGCACAGUUUGAUUAUUUGUGCCUUAAGUGUCUUUUCUUUUUGUUGCUUUAUAAUUAUAAUAUCUGUAUGCUUUGCUGUUGUUUAUCAUGUAACCCCUAAAUGUGCUUAACAGUUUGAGCUGAAUUGAGUAAAAUGAGUCAAGUGUGGUUGCUGCAGUGUACACGACGUAAGGACGUAAUAACGUGUGGGUUCUGCAUUUCUCGAAAUUUGAAUGUCAUUUCUGUAUAGUUAACAGAGAAAAAAAAUAUGCUGCAUUAACUGUUCGACCCUGAAUAAUUGUUGAGCUAUUUUCUUACAUGAAACAAGCUGUAGGCCUACAUGUGGUGUGAGUCUUAAGUGUGAUUUUGUUACAAGACCUAAAAGCUGGAGGUCUGUCGUUCAUGUGACAAAGGUAUGAAUCACGUAUUUUGUAAUCAAACUGUUUGUUUUCUGUAUUCCCUAUCCCAUGUCAGGGAAAAUAAAAUGUUUGGAGUUA